GCGGGUGUGGCGGAAUUGGCAGACGCGCUAGAUUUAGGAUCUAGUGUCCAACGUGUGGGUUCGAGUCCCUCCACCCGUACCA
This 82-nucleotide transfer RNA is filed under the name Clostridia bacterium. RNAcentral's name for it is "tRNA-Leu". It matches the Rfam family "tRNA". Rfam says of the family: Transfer RNA (tRNA) molecules are approximately 80 nucleotides in length. Their secondary structure includes four short double-helical elements and three loops (D, anti-codon, and T loops). Further hydrogen bonds mediate the characteristic L-shaped molecular structure. tRNAs have two regions of fundamental functional importance: the anti-codon, which is responsible for specific mRNA codon recognition, and the 3' end, to which the tRNAs corresponding amino acid is attached (by aminoacyl-tRNA synthetases). tRNAs cope with the degeneracy of the genetic code in two manners: having more than one tRNA (with a specific anti-codon) for a particular amino acid; and 'wobble' base-pairing, i.e. permitting non-standard base-pairing at the 3rd anti-codon position. The record is from RNAcentral. Lineage: Bacteria; Bacillati; Bacillota; Clostridia.